RNAcentral lists this ribosomal RNA (468 nucleotides) under uncultured bacterium. RNAcentral's name for it is "partial 16S ribosomal RNA". It matches the Rfam family "Bacterial small subunit ribosomal RNA", at positions 28 to 507 of the family's 1533-position model. The record is from RNAcentral.
GACGAACGCUGGCGGCGUGCUUAACACAUGCAAGUCGAACGGAAAGGCCCUGCUUUUGUGGGGUGCUCGAGUGGCGAACGGGUGAGUAACACGUGAGUAACCUGCCCUUGACUUGGGGAUAACUUCAGGAAACUGGGGCUAAUACCGGAUAGGAGCUCCUGCUGCAUGGUGGGGGUUGGAAAGUUUCGGCGGUUGGGGAUGGACUCGCGGCUUAUCAGCUUGUUGGUGGGGUAGUGGCUUACCAAGGCUUUGACGGGUAGUCGGCCUGAGAGGGUGACCGGCAACAUUGGGACUGAGAUACGGCCCAGACUCCUACGGGAGGCAGCAGUGGGGAAUAUUGCACAAUGGGCGGAAGCCUGAUGCAGCAACGCCGCGUGCGGGAUGACGGCCUUCGGGUUGUAAACCGCUUUCGCCUGUGACGAAGCGUGAGUGACGGUAAUGGGUAAAGAAGCACCGGCUAACUACGUG